UUGAGAGGGGGAAGAAAAACAUUCGGAAAUGGUUAGGGUGGAGGAGAGGAUUCAGAGAUUCGGGAAUUAGGGAGGUUAAGAAAAAAGAAGGAUACAAGGUUUUUGGGUAGGGGUCAGAAAAGGGACUUCUGGCAAUCAAUGCUGAGAGGUCGAUGUGUUGUAUUGGUGAAUCGAGAUUUUAAUGAAGUAGGUGUGAUUACUCUUGACUGUUUUGUGAAAUC
This 221-nucleotide long non-coding RNA is filed under the name Physcomitrium patens. RNAcentral describes it as "long non-coding RNA (PPAT_LNC001901)". The record is from RNAcentral. Lineage: Eukaryota; Viridiplantae; Streptophyta; Bryopsida; Funariales; Funariaceae.